This 253-nucleotide ribosomal RNA is filed under the name uncultured bacterium. RNAcentral's name for it is "partial 16S ribosomal RNA". It matches the Rfam family "Bacterial small subunit ribosomal RNA", at positions 524 to 776 of the family's 1533-position model. The record is from RNAcentral.
CACGGGGGGAGCAAGCGUUGUUCGGAAUCACUGGGCGUAAAGAGCGUGUAGGCGGUCAGGUAAGUGGGAUGUGAAAUGCCCCGGCUCACCCGGGGACCGGCAUCCCAUACUGCUUGGCUUGAGUACGGGAGAGGAUGUGGGAAUUCCUGGUGUAGCGGUGAAAUGCGUAGAUAUCAGGAGGAACACCGGUGGCGAAGGCGCACAUCUGGCCCGAUACUGACGCUGAGGCGCGAAAGCUAGGGGAGCAAACGGG